AGAGUUUGAUUCUGGCUCAGGAUUAACGCUGGCGGCAUGCCUAAUACAUGCAAAUCGAGCGAGUGUAGCAAUACACGAGCGGUGAACGGGUGAGUAACACGUACCCAAUAUACCAUAAUGUGGGGGAUACCUAAAAGAAAUUUUAGCUAAUACCGCAUAGGAUAUACUUAUGGCAUCAGAAUAUAUUUAAAGGUACAGCAAUGUAUCGCUUUAUGAUUGGGGUGCGUCUUAUCAGAUAGUUGGUGAUGUAACGGACCACCAAGUCAAUGACGGGUAUCUGUGCUGAGAGGCAAGACAGACACAAUGGGACUGAGACACGGCCCAUACUCCUACGGGAGGCAGCAGUAGGGAAUUUUUCACAAUGGGGGAAACCCUGAUGAAGCAAUGCCGCGUGAACAAUGAAGGUUUUCGGAUUGUAAAGUUCUUUUAUAUGGGAAGAACGGCAGGUGGAGGCAAUGCCAUCUGUUCGACGGUACCAUAUGAAUAAGUAACGACUAACUUAUGUGCCAGCAGUCGCGGUAAUACAUAGGUUGCAAGCGUUAUCCGGAUUUACUGGGCGUAAAGCAAGCGCAGGUGGACUAACAAGUCUGGUGUUAAAUGCGAUAGCUUAACUAUCGUAUGCAUGGGAAACUGUUAGUCUAGAGUGCAGUAAGGUGUUUUGGAACUCCAUGUGGAGCGGUGGAAUGCGUAGAUAUAUGGAAGAACACCAGUGGUGAAAACGAAAACAUUGGCUGUAACUGACACUUAGGCUUGAAAGCGUGGGGAGCAAAUAGGAUUAGAUACCCUAGUAGUCCACGCCGUAAACGAUGGAUAUUAAAUAUUGGUUCUUGUUGAAUCAGUAUUGUAGCUAACGCGAUAAAUAUCCCGCCUGGGUAGUACACUCGCAAGAGUGAAACUCAAACGGAAUUGACGGGGACCCGCACAAGUGGUGGGAUUAUGUUGUUUAAUUCGACGGUACACGUGGAACCUUACCUAGUCUUGACAUCCCUGGCAAAGCUAUAGAAAUAUAGUGGAGGUUAACCGGGUGACAGGUGGUGCAUGGCUGUCGUCAGCUCGUGUCGUGAGAUGUUGGGUUAAGUCCCGCAACGAGCGCAACCCUUUUUGAUAGUUAAUUUAUCUAUCGAUACUGCCGAUGUAAAUCGGAGGAAGGUGGGGAUGACGUCAAGUCAUCAUGCCCUUUAUGACUAGGGCUACAAACGUAAUACAAUGGGUGGUACAAACAGUAGCGAACCCGCAAGGGAGAGCAAAUCUGAAAAAGCCAUUCGUAGUACGGAUUGGGGGCUGAAAUUCGCCCCCAUGAAGCUGGAAUCACUAGUAAUCGCAAAUCAGACAUGUUGCGGUGAAUACGUUCUCGGGUCUUGUACACACCGCCCGUCAAACUAUGAGAGUCGGUAAUACCUGAAACUGCAUUCCUAACCCGCAAGGGAAGGGUGUAACAAGGGUAGGAUUGAUGAUUGGAGUUAAGUCGUAACAAGGUAGCC
RNAcentral lists this ribosomal RNA (1481 nucleotides) under uncultured bacterium. Its description in RNAcentral is "bacterial SSU rRNA". It matches the Rfam family "Bacterial small subunit ribosomal RNA". The record is from RNAcentral.